CCCUUAAGAUAUCUCAGCACAUGAAGGGCAGCAGUCAUAUGGGGGAGUCUGGGGCAUUUGAGGAACUGACUCAGAUGUUACACAGCAAAACAGAUGUCAGGCCUAGUGUGGGUCAGAAAUAAGAGUUUACCAACAAGGCUCCUAUACUGAUCAGGAAAAGAUAAAAGGUCACCAAACUCAGCAUGCAACUUUGCAUUAAUGUCCAAAGGACAAACAACAGAAGAGACAUUGACACAGUCAAACUGUUGCAGCAAAUCAGAAAUAUAUUUGUGUUGAUUAAGGAUCAUCCCACCAGGAACAACUGACAUCUCUAUGCCCAAAAAAUAAUGUAAGGACCCUAGGUCCUUAAUUUUGAACUGAUCAUCCAGAAACAGUUUCAGGGCAUCAAUCUCAUCACAGUUAAUAUAUUUAUGCUGAUUAAGGAUCAUCCCACCAGGAACAGCUGACAUCUUUAUGCCUAGAAAAUAAUGUAAGGACCCUAGGUCCUUAAUUUUGAACUGAUCAUCCAGAAACAGUUUCAGGUCAACAAUUUCAUCACAGUCAUCCCCAGUAAGAAUAAUAUCAUCCACAACGACAGCAACAAUCACAAGGGACCCUGGUGUACCUUUGAUGAAUAGAGAACAAUCAUUCAAAGAAUGUCUAUAGCCUCUGGAGUAAAGGGCAAAAGACAAUUUGGCAUACCACUGUCUGGAAGCCUGUCUGAGCCCAUAUAGGGAUUUGUUUAAUUCGCAAACAAGGGUAGUAGAGGCAGAGGAGACAGAAAUAGAGGUAGGGGCAGAAACUGUCAAACCUGGAGGGAGCUUCAUAUAGACCUCCUCAUCCAAAUCACCAUGCAAGAAAGCAUUAUUAACAUCUAGUUGAAACAAAUUCCAACCUCUAAUAACAAGUCUGGCUUUAUACCUUUCAACACAGCCAUCAGCCUUGUAUUUGAUUUUAUCAACCCAUUUACAACCAAUGGGUUUCUUACCAGGAGGAAGAGGAACAACAUCCCAAGUGUGGUUUGUGUCCAAAGCAUCAAACUCUUGUCUCAUGGCAUCCUGCCAUGCUGGAACAGAUGCAGCUUGAGAGUAACAUAGAGGCUCAGAUUCCUAAGAGGAGGAAGAUGAACCAGAAAAGGCAGGUAGUUGACAAACAUAAUCCUUAAGAUAAGUGGGAGGAUUAUGCUGUCUUUGAGACUUUUUGGGAGCAGGAACAGAAGGAGAAGAAGCUAGGACAGGAGGUGAGAUAUCAGGAUUGAAAGAAGGAGUGAAGGUAGAGUCAGAAGAGUUAGGGUCAGUAUAAGGAGGUACUUGCACAGAUGUAGGAGAAGGAGGUGAGGAGAGGAGGAUGGGAGAAUCAGAAUCAUCAUCAUGUUCUCCAGAAGGAACAAAAGGAAAGGAUUAAGCAGAAGGAUAAGCAGAAGAAGAUACAGUUUUAAAAGGAAAACAUGAUUCAUGAAAUAUGACAUCCCUGGAAACAAAAUAUUUCUUUGAAGCAAGAUCAUACAAUUUAUAACCCUUUUUGGCAAAAGGGUAACCCAGGAAAACACAAGCAAGGGCUCUUGGCUUUAACUUGUCCCUUUGAGGGAUUGGGACAGUGGCAUAGGCAAGGCAACCAAAUGUUCUCAAGUGAGUAUAGGUUGGAAUUUUCCGAUACAAGAUUUCAUGAGGAGAUUUAUUAUGAAGUAAUCUGGUGGGUAUUCUGUUAAGGAGGUAGGUGGCAGUCAACAAACAGUCCCCCCAGAAAGAUACAUGCAAGGUAUUCUAUUAAGGAGGUAGGUGGCAGUCAACAAACAGUCCCCCCAGAAAGAUACAUGCAAGCCAGAUUGAAAAAGCAAAGCUCUACAGGUUUCAAGGAGGGUUCUAUGCUUCCUCUCAACAACACCAUUCUAUUGAGGGGAAUGAGAGCAGGUGGUUUGAUGCAUGAUCCCCUCUCUACUAAAGAAAGAAGUACCCUCAAUGCUAGAACCCAAUUCUAAGACAUUGUCACUUCUAACAGUUUGAACCACAACAUUAAAUUGGGUUUUAACCAGAGAAAGGAAUGACUUAAGCAUAGAAAAAGCAUUGCUUUUGGAUCCUAUUAAGUGUGUCCAUGUUGCCCUAGAAAAAUCAUCAACAAUUGUAAGGAAAUACCUACAACCAGAAGAGGUUGGAGUAUGAUAAGGUCCCCAAGUGUUCACAUGAAUCAGUUGAAAGGGUUUAGAGGUCUUAAUAGAACCAUCAGGAAAGGGGAUCCUAGUCUGUCUUGCCAUAGGACAGACUGAGCAUGGAAAAGGUUGUUUGGAAGCAAAUGGAAAAGACAAACCAGAAAUAUAUCUCAUAUUUGCAAAUGGAGUAUGAGCAAGUCUUAAAUGCCAAAUGUAAUUCAUGUCAGUUGUAAGAACAUUAUUACAGAUGGAACUAUAUACAUGUGAAGGCAAUGGAACANN
Molecule: long non-coding RNA, 2407 nt
Filed under: Nicotiana benthamiana
Lineage: Eukaryota; Viridiplantae; Streptophyta; Magnoliopsida; Solanales; Solanaceae
Description: long non-coding RNA (NBEN_LNC035698)
Source: RNAcentral